AGCGAACGCUGGCGGCAGGCCUAACACAUGCAAGUCGAACGAACCUUUCGGGGUUAGUGGCGGACGGGUGAGUAACACGUGGGAACGUGCCUUUAGGUUCGGAAUAACUCAGGGAAACUUGUGCUAAUACCGAAUGUGCCCUUCGGGGGAAAGAUUUAUCGCCUUUAGAGCGGCCCGCGUCUGAUUAGCUAGUUGGUUGAGGUAAUGGCUCACCAAGGCGACGAUCAGUAGCUGGUCUGAGAGGAUGAUCAGCCACAUUGGGACUGAGACACGGCCCAAACUCCUACGGGAGGCAGCAGUGGGGAAUCUUGCGCAAUGGGCGAAAGCCUGACGCAGCCAGGCCGCGUGAAUGAUGAAGGUCGUAGGAUUGUAAAAUUCUUUCACCGGGGACGAUAAUGACGGUACCCGGAGAAGAAGCCCCGGCUAACUUCGUG
RNAcentral lists this ribosomal RNA (434 nucleotides) under uncultured bacterium. RNAcentral describes it as "partial 16S ribosomal RNA". It matches the Rfam family "Bacterial small subunit ribosomal RNA", at positions 29 to 507 of the family's 1533-position model. The record is from RNAcentral.